AAAUGGAGAUCUGGUUCCUGGAUUAGGACUUCUCAUGUGACUUCUCAUUGGAGGAUUCAGGUGCUACAUCCAGGGUCAGGAGCUGAUAAGGAGAAAAACCCAAGAAAACAAUCAACUGUAAACUGACUCAAAAUUAUCCAUCAUACAUCAUGGCGGCACGGUGGCGUGGUGGGUGGCGCUGUCACCUCACAGCAAGGAGGGUCUGGGUUCGAUUCCCCGACCGGGUA
Molecule: long non-coding RNA, 227 nt
Organism: Pygocentrus nattereri (red-bellied piranha)
Lineage: Eukaryota; Metazoa; Chordata; Actinopteri; Characiformes; Serrasalmidae
Exons: 3
Source: RefSeq, a predicted model, not a curated record